CCAGGCCCCGCAGCCGCCGCGUCGCCGCCAUUUUUUAAAGGGUCCGCAGCCUGACUCUGCGGAGUAAGGGGGGGUGGAGCGGGGGAGUCGGCCUCGCCAGCGCGCAUGCGCGAGGCCCGAGCCGCCGCUUGGGUCACAGUGAAAGCCACCGUUGCCCGGGGAUGGGUCCCUGACACUUGGGGAAGUAGGAGCCCUGUGUGAUCGUGCGUCUGAGUCUGGGCUGAGACCAGUCCUGGCCAGGGCAGUUACCAGGACGGUCUCCGGAGGCCGGGAUUCGCGGAGGGUCCAGCAGCAGGAAGAAACCCCAGGAGGAAGAAACCUCAGACAGAUCGCCGGCGAGGCAGCGCGGGAUCCCAGCCUCAGGCGUGCGCGGACGGUGUGCGGGUGGAAACCCCCUUCCCAUGGGGUGAAGCGCAGUCUGCUCCAGAGACCCACUGUUAGGGUCGGGGAUGUCACAGAAAUUAACAGGGCAGCCAAUUCCCAUCCAGAGGGGCCCAGGAUGACCCCGAACCCUCUAGCUCAGCCCCAAGCUCGGGCCAGGGAGUGAAGCCUUUGUCCCCAAGCAACAGAGUGAGGGUCUGUCUCUAACCCGGUGGGCUCCAGUGAAAGGAAAAUGGCCUGGAGGUGCCCACAGGAGGGCGCCCUAGUUCUGAGACAGGUCUACGGCUCCCAGACUGCGUCCCCAUGAGUAACAGAGGGACACGCAGAGGGGCAUACUGAGUGCCUAUAGGGGACUCACAGACUGCAGAUGCACGCUGCGGAUCCAGAAGCCGGUCAGGUAAUGAGGUGCAGAGGUGUGGGGAAGACCUGGGUGCUUCCCUGGGUGCCAACCAGCCUAACCCGCCGGGGCCACCAAACAGAAGUGCUUCUGACAUUAACGCGACACACAGAAGGUGUGUAGGGUGGGUAGUGGAAGUGACCGCAGAGGCCUCUGGGGAUUGUAGUUUUGGAGCUAGAGAGGCGGGCAAGCAGUUGGCUUCGCCCACACGGUGUGCCUCUCACAUCUGCACAGCGCACACAACCAAGCUUAGGAGCCGACUGUUAAGAUGCCCCAGUGACACGGACAAGUUUCUCCUCUGCAACCCAAUGAGAGCUGCUGACCACGAGAGCAUCGCGGGACCGCCAAAGGAUUCUGGAAAAUGUGGUCCCGGGUGGCCAGUGUGCGCUGACCUUCACCUGAAGGUACGGCUUGAAGGAAACUUCUGGAGGGUGGGGUGGUGUUGAAGAGAAGGCACAAUUGUCACCAUUUUGUUCAACAUGGGCGUUUUCUUUGUGCAUUGAUUUGCAUUUUUAAAGGAACUCCUCCUCAAAACAGAAGAAGCCUAUAGGAUUUUAACCUGGAAACUACUCAGGGAAUCUGGAAUAUUCCUUCCAGGGAUAUCUGCAGCUGAAACCUGGCAGUAAUUUAAACAAAACCAGACAACUCU
Molecule: long non-coding RNA, 1427 nt
Filed under: Homo sapiens (human)
Lineage: Eukaryota; Metazoa; Chordata; Mammalia; Primates; Hominidae
Description: HSALNT0259098
Source: RNAcentral